This 371-nucleotide long non-coding RNA is filed under the name Nicotiana benthamiana. Its description in RNAcentral is "long non-coding RNA (NBEN_LNC020581)". Lineage: Eukaryota; Viridiplantae; Streptophyta; Magnoliopsida; Solanales; Solanaceae. The record is from RNAcentral.
GCAUUUUUAAGCGCAUCAGAGCUUUGCAGAAGAGCCAGAAUAGAAAUUUGUGCUGGUAUUUUGUUCAGUUGCUCAACGACUGAGUACUUCUUAACCUGUAUCUUCCUUCAAAGGUUAUCGAGUCCAGUUUCAAUUGUUCGUCCAGAGGCUUGCUUGUUGGACUUAGCCAAAUGUUGUGGGGUGUAUACCCUGCGUAUCCUGGUCAUGCCCUGUGUGUCGAUUGCUUCUCCAGUAUAUGUGUUUCCCUUCCUUCUAGCCUCAACUGUGUAAUCCCAAGGUAUGGCAUUUGACUUGAACGGGUUCAUGUCUGUCAUGGAAUCCAGAGUAGGCAUCUUGGGAGGUAUCACGGUGACUGCAAAUGGUGCAGGUGC